AGGUUAAGUUGAUGAGACGGAGCCGCAGCGAAAGCGAGUCUGAAUAGGGCGAAUGAGUAUGAGGUCGUAGACCCGAAACCAGGUGAUCUACCCAUGUCCAGGGUGAAGUUCAGGUAACACUGAAUGGAGGCCCGAACCCACGCACGUUGAAAAGUGCGGGGAUGAGGUGUGGGUAGCGGAGAAAUUCCAAUCGAACCUGGAGAUAGCUGGUUCUCUCCGAAAUAGCUUUAGGGCUAGCCUCAAGAUGAGAGUAUUGGAGGUAGAGCACUGAUUGGACUAGGGGCCCCCAACGGGUUACCGAAUUCAGUCAAACUCCGAAUGCCAAAUACUUAUUCUUGGGAGUCAGACUGCGAGUGAUAAGAUCCGUAGUCGAAAGGGAAACAGCCCAGACCACCAGCUAAGGUCCCAAAGUAUACGUUAAGUGGAAAAGGAUGUGGAGUUGCUUAGACAACCAGGAUGUUGGCUUAGAAGCAGCCACCAUUUAAAGAGUGCGUAAUAGCUCACUGGUCGAGUGACUCCGCGCCGAAAAUGUACCGGGGCUAAACGUAUCACCGAAGCUGUGGAUUGACACCAUUAGGUGUCGAUGGUAGGAGAGCGUUCUAAGGGCGUUGAAGUCAGACCGGAAGGACUGGUGGAGCGCUUAGAAGUGAGAAUGCCGGUAUGAGUAGCGAAAGAAGGGUGAGAAUCCCUUCCACCGAAUGCCUAAGGUUUCCUGAGGAAGGCUCGUCCGCUCAGGGUUAGUCGGGACCUAAGCCGAGGCCGAAAGGCGUAGGCGAUGGACAACAGGUUGAUAUUCCUGUACCACCUAUACAUCGUUUGAACGAUGGGGGGACGCAGAAGGAUAGGGUAAGCGCGCUGUUGGAUAUGCGCGUCCAAGCAGUUAGGCCGGAAACGAGGCAAAUCCCGUUUCCAUUAAGGCGGAGCUGUGAUGGCGAGGGAAAUAUAGUACCGAAGUUCCUGAUUCCACGCUGCCAAGAAAAGCCUCUAGUGAGAUGUAAGGUGCCCGUACCGCAAACCGACACAGGUAGGCGAGGAGAGAAUCCUAAGGUGUGCGAGAGAACUCUCGUUAAGGAACUCGGCAAAAUGACCCCGUAACUUCGGGAGAAGGGGUGCUUUUUAGGGUGAAUAGCCCAGAAAAGCCGCAGUGAAUAGGCCCAGGCGACUGUUUAGCAAAAACACAGGUCUCUGCGAAGCCGCAAGGCGAAGUAUAGGGGCUGACACCUGCCCGGUGCUGGAAGGUUAAGGGGAGAGGUUAGCGCA
Molecule: ribosomal RNA, 1260 nt
Filed under: Peribacillus simplex
Lineage: Bacteria; Bacillati; Bacillota; Bacilli; Caryophanales; Bacillaceae
Description: partial 23S ribosomal RNA
Rfam family: Bacterial large subunit ribosomal RNA
Source: RNAcentral